Molecule: long non-coding RNA, 2193 nt
Organism: Grus americana (Whooping crane)
Lineage: Eukaryota; Metazoa; Chordata; Aves; Gruiformes; Gruidae
Exons: 5
Source: RefSeq, a predicted model, not a curated record
CGGCGGGGGGUUCCUCCUCGCAGUUGUCUUGGAAGGAUACAAGAAUGAUAACAGUGUUAUGGUACAGUGGCCCUGCAGUCCUUAUUCUGCAGAGAAGACUGGAGAGUCGUCUUCAGGAAGUUCUUGGUGGGCUUGUAGACCACAGUAUGGAGUGUGGGGAAAUGUGUGUGACUUCUUUGCUAUCAAGGAAACAUCUCUGACUUGAGCCGAUGGCACAAAUGAAGACAGGGAUGACCUGUCACUGUGAAGAGGCACCCUUCAACAGGCAGAAGGAAUGAUAACCAAAAAGGAUGUAUGACAACAUACAAAAAAAGCCCUCAGAAGGGGCUUUGUUUUCAUAACCUUUACACUGUUUUAAUUUGCAGAAUUCUUUUCUCCUUUUAACACACAUGAAAACAAAUAAAUAUAAUGAAAACAUUUUCUUUCUUUCUUUCUUAGAAAAUCAUAAAAAAGUGCUGUAAGGCCUUCAGGAGUAACCUCACCCAUUCAAGUCAAUGCUGCUGUCUGCUGCUAACUGUCAAGUUAAACUGCUCCUAACGUGUAUCUUCUCUGUUUGGCAGCCCAGAAUCAGAUUAACUAAUUGAUGCCAGUUCUUAACUUUAUAAUUGCAAAAUUCUUCUAGAACUGACAGCUGUACUUUUGCUCCUGGCAUAAGGAUAAAAAAAGACAUCUUCUAUAGAAGGUAGUCAGUCAGAAUUACAGGAAAGGGUAAUGUCAAAUUUCUUUUCUUGUUAGCAUUACCAGGUUUCAUAUAUGAAGGCUUCUAGAACCAAAGAAUUAGAGAUUUUAAGAAUAUAACUGAUUUCUAAACUUUUAUAUGCAACUACAUACAGAAAAAUAGUUUUUAAAAGGUAUUAAUUAUAAAUAAAAGAGGAGAUAAGAGUUAAAAAUAAUUAAAGGAAGAAUGUAAUGCAUUGUUAGAGAUACCACCAUUUGUUAUUACUCUGCUUGAAGCAACAUUAAAAUUCGACCCAAGACACAGUACUUGUAUACUGAAGAGCCUACUGAAGUUACACUGCUUUGUAAGUACAGAAUUGAGGCCUUCACUAUUUUCUGUCUGUGAAGUCAGAAUCUUGAGUACACAAGGAGAAGCUUACCACCCAAAUCAGUGCUGUCAGAAAAGCCUCUCUUUCAUGAAGGUCAAACAUCAACAUAGGAAAAUGAAUUUCUUGUUUCAGGAUGAUCGCGCAGCAGCAGAGCAGAUUUAUUUUGAAGAGAUAGCUUCCUAUUGUAUUUUCAUGGCAACUGCACCUCUGUGCCAAGAUGUACGCUUCUUCUGUAUUUGACUGUCAGCACAAUUAUAUUACUGUGUAGGUACGAUCUAGUAGCCUCAACUUUACUGAGUUUGCUCCCUUGCUGAUAGAAACAUCAUGUGUAUAAUUUCUUCUAUAAACUUAAAAAUUCCAUAUAAGCUUAGGACUUUAUUAUUAUUAUUCUCUUCCUGGCACCACUACGUCUACCAGAAAAUUCCCAGAAGUCUUCCUGCAUAAUAACCAAACUUCACUGAGCUUAACUUUGUCAUAUCAAUUUUUUCUGUGCUGAAAUUGUUUUCUGAUUUAAAAACAAUUUCCUUCUGUAGUGAAUAUCCCUCCGAUGGGAUAUAGACUCUGUACAUAAACAGAUCUCAGCCCUUGUUUUUCUAGCUACAUAAAGUAAUUUUUAUUGUUCUCUCAUAAAAGAUUUUUCAUUCCCUGAUCAUCCUUUCUUGUUUUUGUUUUCAUGAGUCUUUGUUGGAUAUAAGUAACUGGAAAGGUAUAGGAUAUUCCAUAUGGGGUCUCACUGGAUCCUUACAGUAACAUCAGCACUUCUACUGGAAUCAUUUCUUCUGACAUGCAGUUUUACAGAGGAAGUACACAGUAGCUCACAGUCACUUCACUGCUGGCCACUGCACCCCAACUCCCUUCCUCCUCAAUUUUCUCUUGAGGCAGAGUCCCCAGGUUUCCACGUUUCUUUUUCAUUGGAAGGAGAGGUGUUCUGUAUUUUUCUUUUUCAGAACUAUUCCAUUCUAUUGGAAUUCCAUUUCUCUCCUGAAAGUCAAACCAACCAGUACUUUCUGCAUAACAACCAUCCAACUCUGUGCCUUCCAAUUUUUGUUACACGACCCAUUCUUAUGUUAAGGUUGUUAAUGGUAACGUGAAACCAGAAUGUCCCCAAAUCAACUCCUGCAGAGCACUAUUAUCAAUCUCUUUUCAA